This 484-nucleotide ribosomal RNA is filed under the name uncultured bacterium. RNAcentral's name for it is "partial 16S ribosomal RNA". It matches the Rfam family "Bacterial small subunit ribosomal RNA", at positions 30 to 507 of the family's 1533-position model. The record is from RNAcentral.
AUUGAACGCUGGCGGCAUGCCUUACACAUGCAAGUCGAACGGCAGCGCGGACUUCGGUCUGGCGGCGAGUGGCGAACGGGUGAGUAAUACAUCGGAACGUACCCUGUUGUGGGGGAUAACUAGUCGAAAGAUUAGCUAAUACCGCAUACGACCUGAGGGUGAAAGUGGGGGACCGCAAGGCCUCACGCAGCAGGAGCGGCCGAUGUCUGAUUAGCUAGUUGGUGGGGUAAAGGCCCACCAAGGCGACGAUCAGUAGCUGGUCUGAGAGGACGAUCAGCCACACUGGGACUGAGACACGGCCCAGACUCCUAAGGGAGGCAGCAGUGGGGAAUUUUAGACAAUGGGGGCAACCCUGAUCCAGCAAUGCCGCGUGUGUGAAGAAGGCCUUCGGGUUGUAAAGCACGUUUGUCCGGAAAGAAAUCGCGCUGGUUAAUACCUGGCGUGGAUGACGGUACCGGAAGAAUAAGCACCGGCUAACUACGUG